Molecule: non-coding RNA, 1000 nt
Organism: Caretta caretta (loggerhead turtle)
Lineage: Eukaryota; Metazoa; Chordata; Testudines; Cheloniidae
Source: RefSeq, a predicted model, not a curated record
GGGGCCCGAGGCGAGCCCCGCCCUACGGCCCCCUCCUCCCCGCUGGGCCUUGUCCGGUUCCGGAGCCCCGGACCGGGCUGGUUCUGGCCCGUCUUCCCCGCAGCCAGAUGGGGUCGGAGCCCAGAAUUGCUGCCCCCCCCCGGCUCUGACCCCCCCCCCCCCGAACCGGGCUUAGUGCGGUUCUGACCCGGCCUCCCUCUGUGCCCGGCUCGCCCGGUCCCGCCCCCUGAGUCCGGUCCCCGCCCCCGCCAGGUUCUGACCCGGCCUCCCCCUGUGCCCGGCUCGCCCGGUCCCGCCCCCUGAGUCCGGUCCCCGCCCCCGACAGGUUCUGACCCGGCCUCCCCCUGUGCCCGGCUCGCCCGGUCCCGCCCCCUGAGUCCGGUCCCCGCCCCCGACAGGUUCUGACCCGGCCUCCCCCUGUGCCCGGCUCGCCCGGUCCCGCCCCCUGAGUCCGGUCCCCGCCCCCUGAGUCCAGUCCCCGCCCCCGACAGGUUCUGACCCGGCCUCCCCCUGUGCCCGGCUCGCCCGGUCCCGCCCCCUGAGUCCAGUCCCCGCCCCCUGAGUCCAGUCCCCGCCCCCGCCAGGUUCUGACCCGGCCUCCCCCAGUGCCCAGCUCGCCCGGUCCCGCCCCCUGAGUCCGGUCCCCACCCCCGACAGGUUCUGACCCGGGCUCCCCCUGUGCCCGGCUCGCCUGGCUCCGCCCCCGAGUCCGGUCCCCGCCCCCGACAGGUUCUGACCCGGCCUCCCCUUGUGCCCGGCUCGCCCGGUCCCGCCCCCCUGAGUCCAGUCCCCGCCCCCGACAGGUUCUGACCCAGCCUCCCCCUGUGCCCGGCUUGCCCGGCUUUGACCCUGAGUUCCUCCCUGCCCUGGGGUUGUUCUGAGGCCUGCACCAUCUAGGUUGAGCCUCGUUCUGAUCCGAUAACGUUGCCCCCCCUUCCCUUCUACCCCAAAUGGCCUGCUUCAGACUUCCCUCCAGUUGAAAUUAACACAUUGAACUUCU